GCCGAGGUGGCGGAACUGGUAGACGCGCCAGCUUCAGGUGCUGGUGGGGGCAACCUCGUGUCGGUUCGAGUCCGACCCUCGGUACCA
RNAcentral lists this transfer RNA (87 nucleotides) under Pseudomonadales bacterium. RNAcentral's name for it is "tRNA-Leu". It matches the Rfam family "tRNA". Rfam says of the family: Transfer RNA (tRNA) molecules are approximately 80 nucleotides in length. Their secondary structure includes four short double-helical elements and three loops (D, anti-codon, and T loops). Lineage: Bacteria; Pseudomonadati; Pseudomonadota; Gammaproteobacteria; Pseudomonadales. RNAcentral also lists the same sequence under 1 other name. The record is from RNAcentral.